Molecule: non-coding RNA, 29 nt
Filed under: Homo sapiens (human)
Lineage: Eukaryota; Metazoa; Chordata; Mammalia; Primates; Hominidae
Source: RNAcentral
CUGUACACUUGAGGAAGCUUGGGCUCAGA